GACGAACCGUGCGAACGUUGUUCGGAAUCACUGGGCUUAAAGGGCGCGUAGGCGGGCUGCCAAGUCCGUAGGUGAAAUCCCCCAGCUCAACUGGGGAACAGCUUCCGAUACCGGCGGCCUCGAGUGGGGUAGGGGCGUGCGGAACGACGGGUGGAGCGGUGAAAUGCGUUGAUAUCCGUCGGAACUCCGGUGGCGAAGGCGGCACGCUGGACCCUUUUCUGACGCUGAGGCGCGAAAGCCAGGGGAGCGGACGGG
RNAcentral lists this ribosomal RNA (255 nucleotides) under uncultured bacterium. RNAcentral's name for it is "partial 16S ribosomal RNA". It matches the Rfam family "Bacterial small subunit ribosomal RNA", at positions 524 to 776 of the family's 1533-position model. The record is from RNAcentral.